AGAGUUUGAUCCUGGCUCAGGAUGAACGCUAGCGGCAGGCUUAACACAUGCAAGUCGAACGGUAACAGAUCUAGCUUGCUAGAUGCUGACGAGUGGCGCACGGGUGCGUAACACGUAUACAAUCUACCUUUAACUGAGGGAUAGCCCAGAGAAAUUUGGAUUAAUACCUCAUAGUAUCAUAUUAAGGCAUCUUUUUAUGAUUAAAACUCCGGUGGUUAAAGAUGAGUAUGCGUUCUAUUAGUUUGUUGGUAAGGUAACGGCUUACCAAGACUACGAUAGAUAGGGGGCCUGAGAGGGCGAUCCCCCACACUGGUACUGAGACACGGACCAGACUCCUACGGGAGGCAGCAGUGAGGAAUAUUGCGCAAUGGAGGAAACUCUGACGCAGCCAUGCCGCGUGUAGGAAGAAUGUCCUAUGGAUUGUAAACUACUUUUAUACAAGAAGAAAUUUUAGUACGUGUACUAAAUUGACGGUAUUGUAAGAAUAAGCACCGGCUAACUCCGUGCCAGCAGCCGCGGUAAUACGGAGGGUGCAAGCGUUAUCCGGAUUUAUUGGGUUUAAAGGGUCCGCAGGCGGGGUUCUAAGUCAGUGGUGAAAGCCUACAGCUCAACUGUAGAACUGCCAUUGAUACUGGAAUUCUUGAGUGUGGUUGAAGUAGACGGAAUAUGUCAUGUAGCGGUGAAAUGCAUAGAUAUGACAUAGAACACCAAUUGCGUAGCAGUUUACUAAACCAUUACUGACGCUCAUGGACGAAAGUGUGGGGAGCGAACAGGAUUAGAUACCCUGGUAGUCCACACCGUAAACUAUGAUCACUAGAUGUUGGCGAUACAUAGUCAGUGUCUUAGAGAAAUCGUUAAGUGAUCCACCUGGGGAGUACGUUCGCAAGAUGAAACUCAAGGAAUUGACGGGGGCCCGCACAAGCGGUGGAGCAUGUGGUUUAAUCGAUGAUACGCGAGACUUACCCAGGCUUAAAUUUAAACGACGAUGGAGAAAUCAUCUUUUUUCGAACGGUUUGCAAGUGCUGCAUGAUGUCCGUCAGCUCGUGCCUGGAGGUGUCGUAAGUUCCAUACCGAGGCACGUAUCUUUAGUUGCAGCGAGUAUGUCGACUUGGACUGCUCGUCACGAGAGUGGAUGACGUCAAUUCUAUUCCG
RNAcentral lists this ribosomal RNA (1152 nucleotides) under uncultured bacterium. RNAcentral's name for it is "bacterial SSU rRNA". It matches the Rfam family "Bacterial small subunit ribosomal RNA", at positions 8 to 1198 of the family's 1533-position model. The record is from RNAcentral.